GCCCUUAUGGGUAGGGCUUCACACGUCAUACAAUGGUCGGAACAGAGGGUCGCCAACCCGCGAGGGGGAGCCAAUCCCAGAAAACCGAUCGUAGUCCGGAUCGCAGUCUGCAACUCGACUGCGUGAAGUCGGAAUCGCUAGUAAUCGUGGAUCAGCAUGCCACGGUGAAUACGUUCCCGGGCCUUGUACACACCGCCCGUC
This 201-nucleotide ribosomal RNA is filed under the name Chaetoceros affinis. RNAcentral's name for it is "partial Bacterial small subunit ribosomal RNA". It matches the Rfam family "Bacterial small subunit ribosomal RNA", at positions 1198 to 1398 of the family's 1533-position model. Lineage: Eukaryota; Bacillariophyta; Thalassiosirophyceae; Chaetocerotales; Chaetocerotaceae. The record is from RNAcentral.